RNAcentral lists this non-coding RNA (48 nucleotides) under Trichobilharzia regenti. The record is from RNAcentral. Lineage: Eukaryota; Metazoa; Platyhelminthes; Trematoda; Strigeidida; Schistosomatidae.
AUCCAUAUGACGAGUCCCGAAUAGGACGAAAUGCGCAUUAACAUGGAU